CGGCCCUACGGGGGGCAGCAGUGAGGGAUAUUGGUCAAUGGGGGAAACCCUGAACCAGCAACGCCGCGUGAGGGAAGACGGUUUUCGGAUUGUAAACCUCUGUCCUCUGUGAAGAUAAUGACGGUAGCAGAGGAGGAAGCUCCGGCUAACUACGUGCCAGCAGCCGCGGUAAUACGUAGGGAGCAAGCGUUAUCCGGAUUUACUGGGUGUAAAGGGAGCGUAGGCGGCGCGUUAAGUCUGAUGUGAAAAACCGAGGCUCAACCACGGGAGUGCAUUGGAAACUGGCGGG
RNAcentral lists this ribosomal RNA (289 nucleotides) under uncultured bacterium. RNAcentral's name for it is "partial 16S ribosomal RNA". It matches the Rfam family "Bacterial small subunit ribosomal RNA", at positions 334 to 640 of the family's 1533-position model. The record is from RNAcentral.